Molecule: ribosomal RNA, 414 nt
Filed under: Triticum aestivum (bread wheat)
Lineage: Eukaryota; Viridiplantae; Streptophyta; Magnoliopsida; Poales; Poaceae
Description: partial small subunit ribosomal RNA
Source: RNAcentral
AUGAUCCUUCGGCGUCAAGAUGGAAGUGUAAUCUUUACAGCAUGCAGGUGUAUAUUCAAUUACAACGACGCAUUGAAAGCGGAACUGCAUGCGAUCACGCAAGGCAUGGCACUAGCCGUGCAGCAUUCUUGCAUGCCAAUUGUUGUACAGUCAGACUCAGCAUCGGCGUUGGCAGCAUUGAUCGGGGAGAGCUUAACCCGGUCAGCUUAUGGACACUUGGUGACGGAGAUCAAGCAUCAUAUGGAGACUCGGUAGUUUGUUCCAUCAAAAAUCAAGCGUGAGCAAAAUAGGGUAGCACAUCAGUUGGCAUUGUAUAGUCGUACGAAGUUCAUUACUGCUGUAUGGCUAGGGAGAAGCCCUCCUUGUAUCAAGGAUUUGGUGCCUCUUGAUUGUAACCAUAUGCAUAUGGAAUAA